Molecule: long non-coding RNA, 1164 nt
Organism: Oncorhynchus tshawytscha (Chinook salmon)
Lineage: Eukaryota; Metazoa; Chordata; Actinopteri; Salmoniformes; Salmonidae
Source: Ensembl
CUUAAAUGCAGCUGGUGAUUCCAGAGACCUGGCGGGCAACUCUCAACAAGAAGCACCAGCAGUGGAUUGACCUGACACUGUUUACCCAAGUUGAACUCUGAGUUGACCAAAGUCACCUUGCUAACUCCUCAAACCUGAUGGCUCCAAAAACAGAUUUUCACCAACUCAAAUUGAAUUGACAUUGUUAGGUUUCAUGAUGCUUCUAUCUAAAGUCACCAUGUCCUAGAGAGAUUUACAUGGUUAUUAAAACUUCACGAUGCUUAAAAGAUGCUUAAAAUUAUUAAAAUACACAAAAGUGAUUGUUGUUGUGUUGAAUUGUGUUUGGGAAAUAUUUCUAUCAAUACAGAAAUGUGUAGGCGGCUUAACUUACCCUGUCCCGUGGCCUGAGAUCACAUUUUUUGGACAAGCUAUGUUUUCAAAACAGUAACUUUUACAUGAAUUCUGAUUAUUUCCAGGGAUACACAUCAUCCUGAAAUAUGUGUGGAUAUCUUUGUUAGAAAGAAUACUGUAUUUUCCUUGACCCAGUGAUGCUGAAUGUAAGACAUGGCUCAACUUACCCCACUCUCCCUACCCUGUCCCUAUGCUCAAUUUACUCCAUAUCUGAUCUGGGGUAAAUUGUGCCAAGAGACCACUUUUUUUGGACAUGCUCUGUUUUCAAAACAGUUGUUGUUUAUAUGAAUUCUGAUUAUUUCCAGUGAUACACAACAUCCUGAAAUAUAUGUAAAUAUCUUUCUUAGAUAAAAUACUAUAUCUCCCUUGAUGUACUGAUGCUGAAUAUAAAAAAUGUCUCAACAUACCCUACAUACAGUAUGCGUGUGGUACAUUGAGAAAAAAGUGAUGUGACGGCCCCUCCCUGCUCUGUCUACUGGGCUUUGCUGCGCUUACUUCCUGCAGGAGAUUGGUGGGCGGAGUAGGGUCGUCAGUGCUGAUGGGGCACACCUGUGAAAGCUCAGCUGUGGCAUAAAGCAACUACUUCCCCAUUCAGCAAGAGAUUCCUUUCUCCAUGCAUAGUGUUGGUUGUUUUGUUGUGGCUUUGGCAGUUGAUGUGUGAUUUACUGACCUUCAUAUCUCAUCUGAUUAUUGUUGUCUUGCUCCCGGACAAGCUAAACACCUUCUUCGCCCGUUUUGAGGAAAACACAGUGCCACCGACGUGGGCGCCUCCCG